GACGAACGCUGGCGGCGUGCCUAAUACAUGCAAGUAGAACGCUGAAGGGGGAGCUUGCUUCUCCGGAUGAGUUGCGAACGGGUGAGUAACGCGUAGGUAACCUGCCUGGUAGCGGGGGAUAACUAUUGGAAACGAUAGCUAAUACCGCAUAAUAGUAGAUGUUGCAUGACAUUUGCUUAAAAGGUGCAAUUGCACCACUACCAGAUGGACCUGCGUUGUAUUAGCUAGUUGGUGGGGUAACGGCUCACCAAGGCGACGAUACAUAGCCGACCUGAGAGGGUGAUCGGCCACACUGGGACUGAGACACGGCCCAGACUCCUACGGGAGGCAGCAGUAGGGAAUCUUCGGCAAUGGACGGAAGUCUGACCGAGCAACGCCGCGUGAGUGAAGAAGGUUUUCGGAUCGUAAAGCUCUGUUGUAAGAGAAGAACGAGUGUGAGAGUGGAAAGUUCACACUGUGACGGUAUCUUACCAGAAAGGGACGGCUAACUACGUGCCAGCAGCCGCGGUAAUACGUAGGUCCCGAGCGUUGUCCGGAUUUAUUGGGCGUAAAGCGAGCGCAGGCGGUUAGAUAAGUCUGAAGUUAAAGGCUGUGGCUUAACCAUAGUACGCUUUGGAAACUGUUUAACUUGAGUGCAAGAGGGGAGAGCGGAAUUCCAUGUGUAGCGGUGAAAUGCGUAGAUAUAUGGAGGAACACCGGUGGCGAAAGCGGCUCUCUGGCUUGUAACUGACGCUGAGGCUCGAAAGCGUGGGGAGCAAACAGG
Molecule: ribosomal RNA, 763 nt
Filed under: uncultured Streptococcus sp.
Lineage: Bacteria; Bacillati; Bacillota; Bacilli; Lactobacillales; Streptococcaceae
Description: bacterial SSU rRNA
Rfam family: Bacterial small subunit ribosomal RNA
Source: RNAcentral